This 380-nucleotide ribosomal RNA is filed under the name uncultured bacterium. Its description in RNAcentral is "bacterial SSU rRNA". It matches the Rfam family "Bacterial small subunit ribosomal RNA", at positions 29 to 407 of the family's 1533-position model. The record is from RNAcentral.
AUUGAACGCUGGCGGAAUGCUUUACACAUGCAAGUCGAGCGGCAGGCGCGGGGGCAACCCUGGCGGCGAGCGGCGAACGGGUGAGUAAUGCAUCGGAACGUACCCAGUCGUGGGGGGAUAACGUGGCGAAAGUCACGCUAAUACCGCAUACGUCCUGAGGGAGAAAGCAGGGGAUCGCAAGACCUUGCGCGAUUGGAGCGGCCGAUGUCUGAUUGGCUAGUUGGUGGGGUAAAGGCCUACCAAGGCGACGAUCAGUAGCUGGUCUGAGAGGACGAUCAGCCACACUGGGACUGAGACACGGCCCAGACGUCCUACGGGAGGCAGCAGUGGGGAAUUUUGGACAAUGGGCGAAAGCCUGAUCCAGCCAUUCCGCGUGAGUG